AUACGGAGGGUGCAAGCGUUAAUCGGAAUUACUGGGCGUAAAGCGUACGUAGGCGGUUUAUUAAGUCAGAUGUGAAAGCCCCGGGCUUAACCUGGGAACUGCAUUUGAAACUAGUAGACUAGAGUAUGCUAGAGGGGGGUAGAAUUCCUAGUGUAGCGGUGAAAUGCGUAGAUAUUAGGAGGAAUACCAGUGGCGAAGGCGGCCCCCUGGACCAAUACUGACGCUGAGGUACGAAAGCGUGGGGAGCGAACAGGAUUAGAAACCCGAGUAGUCC
RNAcentral lists this ribosomal RNA (274 nucleotides) under uncultured bacterium. RNAcentral's name for it is "partial 16S ribosomal RNA". It matches the Rfam family "Bacterial small subunit ribosomal RNA", at positions 523 to 796 of the family's 1533-position model. The record is from RNAcentral.